Molecule: ribosomal RNA, 406 nt
Filed under: uncultured bacterium
Lineage: Bacteria
Description: partial 16S ribosomal RNA
Rfam family: Bacterial small subunit ribosomal RNA
Source: RNAcentral
AUUGAACGCUGGCGGCAGGCUUAACACAUGCAAGUCGAACGAGUGGCGGACGGGUGAGUAAUGCUUGGGAAUCUAGCUUAUGGAGGGGGAUAACUACUGGAAACGGUAGCUAAUACCGCAUACCAUAGGAUGAGCCCAGAUGGGAUUAGGUAGUUGGUGGGGUAAAGGCUCACCAAGCCGACGAUCCCUAGCUGGUCUGAGAGGAUGACCAGCCACACUGGGACUGAGACACGGCCCAGACUCCUACGGGAGGCAGCAGUGGGGAAUAUUGCGCAAUGGGGGCAAGCCUGAGACAGCCAUGCCGCGUGAAUGAAGAAGGCCUUCGGGUUGUAAAGUUCUUUCGGUAGGGAGGCGUUACCUACAGAAGAAGCACCGGCUAACUCCGUGCCAACAGCCGCGGUAAUAC